UGCUAAGACUGGAUAGGAAACAAAAAGGCAUCUUUUUGUUUUUAAAAGACCUUCUUACGAAGGUAUGCUUAAAGAGGGGCUUGCGCCACAUUAGUUAGUUGGUAGGGUAAAAGCCUACCAAGACGAUGAUGUGUAGCUGGACUGAGAGGUUGAACAGCCACAUUGGGACUGAGACACGGCCCAAACUCCUACGGGAGGCAGCAGUAGGGAAUUUUCGGCAAUGGAGGAAACUCUGACCGAGCAACGCCGCGUGAACGAUGAAGUAUUUCGGUAUGUAAAGUUCUUUUAUUGAAGAAGAAAAAGUAGUGGAAAAACUAUAUUGACGUUAUUCAAUGAAUAAGCCCCGGCUAACUAUGUGCCAGCAGCCGCGGUAAGACAUAGGGGGCGAGCGUUAUCCGGAAUUAUUGGGCGUAAAGGGUGCGUAGGCUGUUAGAUAAGUCUAUAAUUUAAUUUCAGUGCUUAACGCUGUCUUGUUAUAGAAACUGUCUUGACUAGAGUGAGAUAGAGGCAAGCGGAAUUCCAUGUGUAGCGGUAAAAUGUGUAAAUAUAUGGAGGAACACCAGAAGCGUAGGCGGCUUGCUGGGUCUUUACUGACGCUGAGGCACGAAAGCGUGGGUAGCAAACAGGAUUAGAUACCCUGGUAGUCCACGCCGUAAACGAUGAGUACUAAGUGUCGGGGUAAAACUCGGUACUGAAGUUAACACAUUAAGUACUCCGCCUGAGUAGUACGUACGCAAGUAUGAAACUUAAAGGAAUUGACGGGACUCCGCACAAGCGGUGGAUCAUGUUGUUUAAUUCGAAGAUACACGAAAAAUCUUACCAGGUCUUGACAUACUCUGCAAAGCUAUAGAAAUAUAGUGGAGGUUAUCAGGGAUACAGGUGGUGCAUGGUUGUCGUCAGUUCGUGUCGUGAGAUGUUAGGUUAAGUCCUAAAACGAGCGCAACCCUUGUCGUUAAUUGCCAGCACGUAAUGGUGGGGACUUUAGCGAGACUGCCAAUUAAACAUUGGAGGAAGGUGAGGAUUACGUCAAAUCAUCAUGCCCCUUAUGAUCUGGGCUACAAACGUGAUACAAUGGCUGUGACAAAGAGUAGCUGAAACGCGAGUUUUUAGCCAAUCUCAAAAAAGCAGUCUCAGUUCGGAUUGAAGUCUGUAACUCGACUUCAUGAAGUUGGAAUCGCUAGUAAUCGCGAAUCAGCAUGUCGCGGUGAAUACGUUCUCGGGGUUUGUACACACCGCCCGUCAAA
RNAcentral lists this ribosomal RNA (1244 nucleotides) under Candidatus Phytoplasma trifolii. RNAcentral's name for it is "bacterial SSU rRNA". It matches the Rfam family "Bacterial small subunit ribosomal RNA", at positions 161 to 1401 of the family's 1533-position model. The record is from RNAcentral. Lineage: Bacteria; Bacillati; Mycoplasmatota; Mollicutes; Acholeplasmatales; Acholeplasmataceae.